GCGGAAGCUAAAUUCUGGUUUUGCUUGCUUUCCAUAACAAUUGCUGCCCUUGCACCUCGUUUUGUCGUCAAAGCUUUCAUUCAGCAUGCUAGACCUCGUGAUAUUCAGAUUGCAAGAGAAGGAGAGAAGUUCAGAAAUUUAAGAGACUCUCAGACUGCAGAAAUAGAAAUGAAUCCAAUUGUUGACCCUCCUCGACGAUGAUUGAGCUUUUUACUGAGUUCUCUUCUCCAUCACUUCUGCUUGUAAAAAGGUUUUUCUUUAUAUUUCUUUUGGUUACUUUGGAGAUUUCCUCCUUGUUACCGGAUUUUGUUUGUUUUGGUAUCCAAAGGAUAGGAGUAGUUAGUAUU
Molecule: unclassified non-coding RNA, 347 nt
Filed under: Hevea brasiliensis (rubber tree)
Lineage: Eukaryota; Viridiplantae; Streptophyta; Magnoliopsida; Malpighiales; Euphorbiaceae
Source: RNAcentral